This 204-nucleotide long non-coding RNA is filed under the name Mytilus galloprovincialis (Mediterranean mussel). Lineage: Eukaryota; Metazoa; Mollusca; Bivalvia; Mytilida; Mytilidae. The record is from RNAcentral.
GCUGUAUUUAGACCCUUCUACAACGAAAUUUGUUUUACAUGCACACGUAUAAAAAUUGCGGUUUUUAUCCAACGCAAUCAUAGGUUUGAACGUAGUUUUUCAAUUUAGACUCGUUUAUAUUUUUCGUUUGGGCUUGUAUCAUAUUUUCCCUCCGGUUUAUAUGAUCUGUUCAUCCUAUAUUGACUCUUAAAAUUCAAGAGUCUA